RNAcentral lists this ribosomal RNA (253 nucleotides) under uncultured bacterium. RNAcentral's name for it is "partial 16S ribosomal RNA". It matches the Rfam family "Bacterial small subunit ribosomal RNA", at positions 524 to 776 of the family's 1533-position model. The record is from RNAcentral.
UACAGAGGGUGCGAGCGUUAAUCGGAAUUACUGGGCGUAAAGGGCUCGUAGGCGGCCAACUAAGUCAGACGUGAAAUCCCUCGGCUUAACCGGGGAACUGCGUCUGAUACUGGAUGGCUUGAAUCCGGGAGAGGGAUGCGGAAUUCCAGGUGUAGCGGUGAAAUGCGUAGAUAUCUGGAGGAACACCGGUGGCGAAGGCGGCAUCCUGGACCGGCAUUGACGCUGAGGAGCGAAAGCCAGGGGAGCAAACGGG